AAGACCUUGCGCUUUUGGAGCGGCCGAUGCCUGAUUAGCUUGUUGGUAAGGUAAAGGCUUACCAAGGCUUCGAUCAGUAGCUGGUCUGAGAGGACGGCCAGCCACACUGGGACUGAGACACGGCCCAGACUCCUACGGGAGGCAGCAGUGGGGAAUUUUGGACAAUGGGGGCAACCCUGAUCCAGCCAUGCCGCGUGAGUGAAGAAGGCCUUCGGGUUGUAAAGCUCUUUCAGCCGGAACGAAACGGUUACGGUUAACACCCGUGACUACUGACGGUACCGGAAGAAGAAGCACCGGCUAACUACGUGCCAGCAGCCGCGGUAAUACGUAGGGUGCGAGCGUUAAUCGGAAUUACUGGGCGUAAAGCGUGCGCAGGUGGUUUUGUAAGUCAGAUGUGAAAGCCCCGGGCUCAACCUGGGAACU
This 423-nucleotide ribosomal RNA is filed under the name uncultured bacterium. RNAcentral describes it as "bacterial SSU rRNA". It matches the Rfam family "Bacterial small subunit ribosomal RNA", at positions 207 to 622 of the family's 1533-position model. The record is from RNAcentral.